Long non-coding RNA from Maniola jurtina (meadow brown), 244 nucleotides. RefSeq lists it as uncharacterized. The record is from RefSeq and is a predicted model, not a curated record. NCBI's taxonomy places the organism in Eukaryota, Metazoa, Arthropoda, Insecta, Lepidoptera, Nymphalidae. The transcript is spliced from 3 exons.
AAAAAAAAAAAAAGAAAAAGAAAAAGAAUUUGGUGUGACAGCUUGUCUUUCUUUUUUCGAUUCGCCUUGCAGGAAGAUGUCGUAGUUACAAAUUUUAAAAAUGAUAACGAUAGUUUAGGCUGGGAGUUUUGCUAAAAAUGUUUUAGGAUAAAGUUCUACCACGCGGCGGGUGGGUGUCGGCCAUCACGAUUUGGUGGCGACAUGGGUGAAACGUGCGUGUUGUUAUGUUGUUGUGAUUAAGAAU